UGGACAUUCAGUGAAUUCGGAUGCAGAAACACGUCGCAGAAGAAGAAUGGACUAUGACACAAUUUGUCUCGGUUAUGCAGACGGAGAUUUCUAAACGCAAGUGUGACAUACAUCAAUCAGCGUUCCUACCUGUUUAUAGAGUGGAACACGUUGCAUCGGAGGAAAAUCUGCCUAUAUGACAUAUCUUCACAGAAAAGGAAAGUAAAGUCCAAUUUACCAUGAACAGAAGAAAAUUUUACCAUUCUGAAAGAUUACCAGACCAAAAUCAGGAUGCAGGAUGAGAUUAAACCAAAAUGUGUCUAAAAUUCCUAACGUUAUACUGUUAAGCCAUUGGAUGUAUAGUGUUCAGAAGGUUUUGAAAGAUGAACACAUGUAAGGCUGCAAAAUGUGAAGGAAACAAUUCGUCUUUGAAAGGCGAUUUACUUGUCAUUGGCUGCGAAGAAAGUAACCAGGAAAACCAUUACAUAAGGAAAGAGGAAAGAUGCAUCAUGUCUUUUUAAAAAAAAAUCUUUGUGGCAUUGUUGUGUGAUGGCACUGGACGCUGUAUUAAGUGUAGUGAAUUCCUGUUGAGAAGGUGAUCAGGGAAUAGGAGAAUUAGUAUGCUUAGUAUCACUCGGGAGCAGAAAAAAAAGCUUUGUGUUCAGAUUGUCAAUAACUGGCGAUUUCCCAACGGCAUCAUUCCACCAGCGAAGAAUCGCAAGAACGGCAAAACCUUAUUACCACAGUCGCUAUCUCAUUUAGGGCUGAAAAUACACCCCGUCACCAAAAGCCGAAACAACGACUUCCGAUCAUGAAAGAUGUUACAUUGUUAAAAAUAAUGUAUUCUAAGAUAAAACAUCGAUUUUUGAAAAUUUACAGAGAUUUUCUAGAAAACAAGGAAGGAAUUAUGACCUGUACUUUCAAUAAAACAUUGUUAUGGUUUGUUGCAAAGAUUUUGUAUUAGUUGGAAAAUAAUAGAAAAGAAUGCAAAUUAUAUGAAUUAUGCAUGAAAAAAAAUCACUCUUGGGGAUUAUAUUUAUAGAUGGAUACUUUUCUGCAGUUUUAAUAUAUCUGUCCAAACGUGUUCCAUCGAAUUAAAACAUGAUAUAUGCAAUGUCUUGUAAUAAAAAAAAUAAGAACCAUUGAAAUCUUGGGAAAUUCCUUUCCUUAUUUCUUGUUUCACACGAAAAGCCAAAACAUGUUGUAUUUCCUGCAAUAUCAGUUAUUGGUACAUGUAUAUUUUUCAAUAUAAAUUAUGUAUGUAUAAACUCCAAACAAAACACCAAUUAACAACAUAAAAUAUAUUGUAUUUCUAUGCUUUUUAAA
Molecule: long non-coding RNA, 1305 nt
Organism: Saccostrea cuccullata (small rock oyster)
Lineage: Eukaryota; Metazoa; Mollusca; Bivalvia; Ostreida; Ostreidae
Exons: 4
Source: RefSeq, a predicted model, not a curated record